AGUUCAGAACAAACCACCAGCACCUAAGCCAUCUCCUCCUACAAAACCUAUUGUACCAAUUGAAUCUCCACCACCACCUUCUUCCAAAUCUUCGGGGUCCCAUUUUAAGCGCUCUCCGCCGCCACCUCAAUCAACUCCUCCGCCAUCACCACCACCACCACCACCUGUUUAUAGCAGUUCCCCGUCGCAUCAACAUAGAAGUCCACCACCUCCUACCCACAAAAUUUCACCUGUAACUCGUCACGCUCCACCUCCUCCACCUCCACCAAGUCCGGUAUAUUAUCACCACCCAUCACCACCACCUCCACAACCAGUAUAUUACGCGCCACCAACAUAUAAACCUCAAUCACCACCACCACCUCCACCACCAGUACAUUACGAGCCACCAACGUACACACCUCAAUCACCACCACCACCUCCACCAGUACAUUACGAGCCACCACCAUACACACCUCAAUCACCACCACCUCCACCAGUACAUUACGAACCACCAACGUACACACCUCAAUCGCCACCACCACCAGUAUAUGUGACACCGUCUUCACCACCACCACCAGUAUAUGAGCAUCCAAAACCUCCAACUCCAACUCCAUCACCACCAGCUGGGUACACACCUCCCCAGGAGCCAUCACAUCCUGCCCCACCUACCCCACCUUGUAACGAGACACCACCCCCACCACCUAGUACCCCACAUUGGCAACCAAAACCAUCUCCUCCCCCUACAUAUAACCCAUCACCAUCAUAUACCCAAAGCCCCCCGCCGCCACCUCCUACUUACACCUACUCUUCACCGCCGCCACCAUCAUCAUCACCUCCCCCUCCCACUUACUACUACUCAUCACCGCCUCCGCCGCCACCAUCACCUC
Molecule: long non-coding RNA, 866 nt
Filed under: Nicotiana tabacum (common tobacco)
Lineage: Eukaryota; Viridiplantae; Streptophyta; Magnoliopsida; Solanales; Solanaceae
Description: long non-coding RNA (NTAB_LNC000114)
Source: RNAcentral